AAAGUACUCCCUCCGUUCGAAAAUACUUGUCUGAGGAAUGGAUGUAUCUAGAUGUAUUUUAUUUCUAGAUACAUCCAUUUGUAUCCAUUUCUAUGACAAGUAUUUCCGGACGGAGGGAGUAAGAA
This is a non-coding RNA of Triticum aestivum (bread wheat), 125 nucleotides long. NCBI's taxonomy places the organism in Eukaryota, Viridiplantae, Streptophyta, Magnoliopsida, Poales, Poaceae. The record is from Rfam.